RNAcentral lists this ribosomal RNA (270 nucleotides) under uncultured archaeon. RNAcentral describes it as "partial 16S ribosomal RNA". It matches the Rfam family "Archaeal small subunit ribosomal RNA", at positions 477 to 747 of the family's 1478-position model. The record is from RNAcentral.
CUGCAGCUCAAGUGGUGACCGCUAUUAUUGGGCCUAAAACGUUCGUAGCCGGCUGAGUAAAUGCUUGGGUAAAUCGUGCCGCUUAACGGUACGAAUUCCGGGUAGACUGCUCAGCUUGAGACCGGGAGAAGCUAGAGGUACUCCCGGGGUAGGGGUGAAAUCCUGUAAUCCUGGGGGGACCACCAGUGGCGAAGGCGUCUAGCUAGAACGGGUCUGACGGUGAGGGACGAAACCCUGGGGCGCAAACCGGAUUAGAUACCCGAGUAGUCC